CCUACGGGAGGCAGCAGUGGGGAAUAUUGGACAAUGGGCGAAAGCCUGAUCCAGCAAUGCCGCGUGAGUGAUGAAGGCCUUAGGGUCGUAAAGCUCUUUUACCCGGGAUGAUAAUGACAGUACCGGGAGAAUAAGCCCCGGCUAACUCCGUGCCAGCAGCCGCGGUAAUACGGAGGGGGCUAGCGUUGUUCGGAAUUACUGGGCGUAAAGCGUGCGUAGGCGGUUAUUCAAGUCAGAGGUGAAAGCCCGGGGCUCAACCCCGGAACGGCCUUUGAAACUAGGUAGCUAGAAUCUUGGAGAGGUCAGUGGAAUUCCGAGUGUAGAGGUGAAAUUCGUAGAUAUUCGGAAGAACACCAGUGGCGAAGGCGACUGACUGGACAAGUAUUGACGCUGAGGCACGAAAGCGUGGGGAGCAAACAGGAUUAGAUACCCUGGUAGUCCACGCCGUAAACGAUGAUAACUAGCUGUUCGGGUACUUGGUAUCUGAGUGGCGCAGCUAACGCAUUAAGUUAUCCGCCUGGGGAGUACGGUCGCAAGAUUAAAACCUUAAAGGAAUUGACGGCUGGAGUAAGUGCGAGCGACGACGAGGGAGAGG
RNAcentral lists this ribosomal RNA (595 nucleotides) under uncultured bacterium. RNAcentral's name for it is "bacterial SSU rRNA". It matches the Rfam family "Bacterial small subunit ribosomal RNA", at positions 338 to 946 of the family's 1533-position model. The record is from RNAcentral.